ACGACCGUAGCUCAGUUGGUUAGAGCACUACCUUGACAUGGUAGGGGUCGGUGGUUCGAAUCCACUCGGUCGUA
Molecule: transfer RNA, 74 nt
Organism: Pseudoalteromonas ulvae
Lineage: Bacteria; Pseudomonadati; Pseudomonadota; Gammaproteobacteria; Alteromonadales; Pseudoalteromonadaceae
Rfam family: tRNA
About the family: Transfer RNA (tRNA) molecules are approximately 80 nucleotides in length. Their secondary structure includes four short double-helical elements and three loops (D, anti-codon, and T loops). Further hydrogen bonds mediate the characteristic L-shaped molecular structure. tRNAs have two regions of fundamental functional importance: the anti-codon, which is responsible for specific mRNA codon recognition, and the 3' end, to which the tRNAs corresponding amino acid is attached (by aminoacyl-tRNA synthetases). tRNAs cope with the degeneracy of the genetic code in two manners: having more than one tRNA (with a specific anti-codon) for a particular amino acid; and 'wobble' base-pairing, i.e. permitting non-standard base-pairing at the 3rd anti-codon position.
Source: Rfam